CCAAAUGCAAAUAACUGGUGGAUGUGAAGAUACACAUGUUCUGAAAGGUGUCAGAAUUUCACUGGAUUGUCAAGAAAGGCUAACAUCAGAUCUGCUCGAAGAACUUUGUGGUAUAAGAGACCCCAUGGAGAUAGAUGCGACAGAUGUAAUAGCAGAGCUUUGUUCUUGAAGCUGUGUUCCCUCAUCCUGUUGAGCUUAUGCCCUGGCUUCAGAGAGGGACUGACAUUCAGUUCAGAUCUGAUUAAAUGAGAACCUUGACACCAGAGAACCAGAACCUAAAUAACUGAACUUUUCAGUUGUUACGACAUGACGUAAACCAGGAAAGUUUGAUGGAGAGAGAUCUUUGCCAAAGAGCAUAUAAAAAAUGUUACUUCUUUCUUGACAUUAUCAUUUUGAAAAGCUGCAUUUUUUUGCCAAAGUGGCAGAAAACAUUUGUUUCAUCUUUUUCUUCCCAACACAUUUCCUUAGAUGGAUGUCUUCAAUUACAUCAUCUGACUGGGGAAGGUUAAGAAGCAGUGUCCAAUUUUUUACAUAUAUCAGAGACCAGCAAACAUCACAGAAAGAAAUAUGCCCUACUCUUAUGUCACUUUGCAGCUGGCAUGCUGUUUAUUUUACAAAAACAUUACAAGGAUGCUCUCUAUGUGACAUGGAAAAAACAAGGAUGAUGAAAGUUCAGGACUGAAGUCCUUUUAUUCUGUGAGGACAAGGAGGCCUUUUCCAAUGCCUGUCUUCCUGCCUUUGACCCAUGCUGCCAGGAUACAUCCUGCCUUUAUGACAACUACCCGCACAAUGUUGGUGGUUUGACUGGGCCCGUUCACAUGUCUGAUUCAACAAAAACUUGUGGAGCUCAACAACAGAUGAGAGGCAGCAUCAGAGAAUUUCUUGCGUAAAUUAAGAAUUGCUGAGGACUGAACUGAGACUGAUCAUGGUGUUUCUUCAACAGCAGCCAGGAGGACUUCUGAUGUUCUGUAAUUCAGUUGGCAGUCAGCUUCUGGUCCAGAUGAAGGUUAUGCCCCAGGAGAUGUGUGAAGGCCAAGCAGAAUGACUUGUCCAUGUUCCUGGUUCUUAAACCUUGUUAAGUGCAACUGUCUGCCCUUGACACUGACAUGGCUCUUCCAGGCUCCUUGUGCUCUGUCACUUGUGUUUGUUGUGGUGGAUGUCAUCCUUGCAUCUGUCACCUUCCAUAUCCUGGACAGUAAGGCCUGAUUGGGCUUCAGCAACAUGUUUUUCACCCAAGGGCUGUGCAGCCCUCUACACUCUCCCGGCUUAAAUCAGUGCAUGCUGUGGGUGUCAAAGGUGCCUGUGUUAGCAGCACCUCUGCCCACCCUCCCGCCCCAAGCACACCCCCAGGAUGUGCUGUAGAUGGGUGCUCUGAGGGCUGACCACAGAAAGGCAACCUGAGGAAAGGACCCCUUCAAUGACUUUGGUACUCCUGCCACUUGGUUCACAAGUGGUGCCUGAGGGCUCAGAUCUGUUUAUAGGUGAGCAUGGCUCUGCCACUCUGAGCUCUGAAAGGAAAGCUUGAACCAAGCUCAUCCCUAGUCUUUCACCAGUGCUUGCUGUGACAAAUCUACUCUUACCUUUCUGUCCCACAGAGCAAUUGGCUCUGCCUUUUCAAGAAAAUGACAGCUUCAGCACCAGGCAUGGUUUGCAUGGACAUUUGUGGUGUUUAAUUUUGCACACAGGCUAUUUUAUUUCCUUCAGCUUUACUGAAAAAAGAGGAGGAAUAAAAUAAAAUUGUAUUGACCUUUCCACAAGACUGAAAAGAGCUUAUAAGACCUGACAGUUGCCCUUUUAUCACUUGACUUUCAUGAGAAAGAACUUCCAUUUCUCUCUGGGGCUUGGACCAGUUUAUAGAGCAUCAAUAUUAGCAGAUACUGGGGACAGUGUACAGCUGCUUGAAAAUCAGGACUGCAACAGGCUGUGGGGAUUAGAGGUCCAGGAAAUGAGAGCUGACUGAGUUUUGUGGUGUGAGCAGUGACCACAUCAAUCCACUUGAUGGAUUCCCACUGGCACCUUGGGAACCUUGGCAAUUUCUCCAGGUCCUGUAGCCACACUUUUCUCUCGGGCUGAGGAUCUUGAUAACAUGAGAGGACAACUGAAGUCACAUUUCCCUCAGUCUCCAGCAUGGAGAAAAAGCUAGGGAGGGGUGACAGCAGGCAGAUUUAACCAUGUCCCUACCCUGCCAAGUCCAGCCAUCAGCUGCUCCCCAGAGACUGGCUGGCUAUGAGCGUUUGGAAGAGAAAGCUGAUCUACAGCAAGAAGAGGAACCACCUUCUCAGAGACCAGUCCAAACGGAACACAAACUCCUUGACUCCUGGUUCUCUCGGCUGAUGCUGGGGGAAACACCUUACACAUGCUCAUUGUCCUGGGCAUGCUCUGAUGGGUUUGCUGUUCAGACAGGGAUGCCAAAAGACAUCUGUGACUUUUCAGGGUCCCACUUCAUGAGAAGCACAUCAAAACGCUGCUGUGACAUUCACCAUUAGUGCCUUGUCAAAGAGGUCUCAGCAGAAUUCUUUCACUAAGCAAAGCUAAUUCCUCCCUUAACUUACCAUUUAAGCAAUGCAAAAUCAUAAUUCAUUCGCAGUUCCCAAUAAGCCCUUUUUAAUAUAAACUAAAUCCUUGAACAGCUGCCCACUGAAGGUAUUCAAAGAGUCUCAGUAUCACCUUUUAACUCACCAGUGAUUUUCCUCUCAGUAAUGAUGGCUCCAGCAGGUGAAGGCAUUAAUUUUGUUAUUAGCAGAAAAUCCAGUGGUGCAUUUUUUUUUCCCCCAGAAAAUCUUUUUCAGAUUUUUUUCAUCAUGGCAGAUUGCUGAUUCAUUAAAAUUUUCGGUGAGUGAUGCUGACUUUUGCUCUCAAACACUCGGAUACUGAGAGACUUCCAGUAACUGGAUAUUGAACAUUUGAGGCCAUUUGCAGUCAAAACCCUUCUUAAUUCAAAAUCUUUUGAGUAUCUGGAAAAUAUUUGAAAUUUCAAGGAGAAAUUGGAUUUGAAUAUGAGCUUGUGCAUAACAUGAGGGUUUCCUCAACUUGUAGGAAUUCUUCAUUUCUAGAGGUACUCUUGUAAAACUACUUACUUGUUAUUUUUUGGGAUCUAAACUUUCAUCAUCUUCUGUGUUUCACAGUUCAAUAUAAUACUUUUCAGUGUACAAGGAAGAAAAGGAAAGGCUGAAGAAUUUCUGACUUUACUAAAACAGCUUCUGGUAAAGUCGCUUUUGCUCAGGGAAUGCCUGUUCCCUUGUCACACUGUUUUUACCAGAGUUCUGCAAAUUACUAAUACAAUUCUUGCUGACUGAAAGGAGCUACGUGUGUAUUCCUUGCCCUCACUCUUCUUACUACUACAGGGAUUUGGCAGUUUACCUGCAGUAUUUCAAAGGGUCAGAAGCGAAGUAUCAGUACAAAUAAAUUACUUCAAUAUGAGUAUAACUGCCCUUUAACGUAGACAGAUCCUGUGGUGUUUCUCUGUAUCCACAUAACCUCUGUGCUCCAGUGCACUUUGUAAAGAAAGAUUGAGAUGUACAAGUGAAUAUUUUGAAGCAAAAAUCUCCUUGACUGAAGAAUGAAUCGUCUUCAAAAAGUUUCUCUGUUUUUUUUUCAGUCCAAAUCCCAACAACCCCAAACUAUAUCAAAGUAAAGACAGACAGUAUUUGUCUCUCAGGGAGAUAUUUGCAUUGGUUGCACAUAGGUUAUUCCUGAGAAGAGCAGAACAGAUAUUUUGGAAAAUUGCAGCAUAUGUUGUAGCAUGCUAAGAGCAAUGCUCAUUUUCCUUUUGUCUUCAGUGGAGCAAGAGUGAGCUAUAUGCAUGCAGGUAAUCGAAACUCUGAGGUGGCCUUUUGAAGUGAAAGUGUUGAAAAGCAUGGGUCCCCAGGGAGCUGUGUGCAUUGUGGGGCACUUGCUUUGGAGGGUUAAUUUUGAAACCUAAGACUUGUACAUACUAUGUGCUUCUCGCAAUGUUGUCAAAGGGAAAGCAGAAGCCUCAGGCUCUGUAAUGCACAGGACUUGCUUAACCACAGUCUUCUAAGAGCUGUGAUAGAGAUAUUUUCUCAGGCUGAAAUAGGUAAAAACUCCUUUGGGAGGAGAUUCUGUUGUGCACAGACCUGUAGCAGUGUCAUUAAUGAAAUGAAAUCUUCCCCAGGAAACCCACUUAUUGCGACUUUUGGUGCAUUGGGUAUGGCCAAGGACACAAAGCCUGGAGCACUACCUUUUGCCCUCCUGGCUUGAUCUGAUAUGUAUAACGUCUAGCAAAAUCCUUGUGUUGCUGUGGCUCUGAUUUCCCUUCUUGCAUUUCUUUGGUGAGUGUGAUGCUCUAAAGAAGUCAGAUGUAUGUUCAUGGUCAACGUGGAACAUUGAAAAGCAAGAGCUUUAUCUUCACAUGUGUUACCAUGAAAACCAACAGGAACUUGGAAAUGUUUCUGUAAUGGGUCACUGGCUAUGGAUUUACUUUGUGAGGUGAAUUUUGUUGAUUAUCUUAAAUGAUUUUAGUCUCAUUUUUGCUCCCCGAAUAUAGAGAAGAUGUUUCAGCUGUAUAAUAAAUAAGCACACGUUACAAACAUCAA
Long non-coding RNA from Dromaius novaehollandiae (emu), 4556 nucleotides. RefSeq lists it as uncharacterized. The record is from RefSeq and is a predicted model, not a curated record. Lineage: Eukaryota; Metazoa; Chordata; Aves; Casuariiformes; Dromaiidae. The transcript is spliced from 3 exons.